GACGAACGCUGGCGGCGUGCUUAACACAUGCAAGUCGAACGGAAAGGCCCUGCUUUUGUGGGGUGCUCGAGUGGCGAACGGGUGAGUAACACGUGAGUAACCUGCCCUUGACUUUGGGAUAACUUCAGGAAACUGGGGCUAAUACCGGAUAGGAGCUCCUGCUGCAUGGUGGGGGUUGGAAAGUUUCGGCGGUUGGGGAUGGACUCGCGGCUUAUCAGCUUGUUGGUGGGGUAGUGGCUUACCAAGGCUUUGACGGGUAGCCGGCCUGAGAGGGUGACCGGCCACAUUGGGACUGAGAUACGGCCCAUACUCCUACGGGAGGCAGCAGUGGGGAAUAUUGCACAAUGGGCGGAAGCCUGAUGCAGCAACGCCGCGUGCGGGAUGACGGCCUUCGGGUUGUAAACCGCUUUCGCCUGUGACGAAGCGUGAGUGACGGUAAUGGGUAAAGAAGCACCGGCUAACUACGUGC
RNAcentral lists this ribosomal RNA (469 nucleotides) under uncultured bacterium. Its description in RNAcentral is "partial 16S ribosomal RNA". It matches the Rfam family "Bacterial small subunit ribosomal RNA", at positions 28 to 508 of the family's 1533-position model. The record is from RNAcentral.